AUUGAACGCUGGCGGCAUGCCUUACACAUGCAAGUCGAACGGUAACAGGUCUUCGGAUGCUGACGAGUGGCGAACGGGUGAGUAAUAUAUCGGAACGUGCCCAGUCGUGGGGGAUAACGCAGCGAAAGCUGUGCUAAUACCGCAUACGAUCUAUGGAUGAAAGCGGGGGAUCGCAAGACCUCGCGCGAUUGGAGCGGCCGAUAUCAGAUUAGGUAGUUGGUGGGGUAAAGGCCCACCAAGCCAACGAUCUGUAGCUGGUCUGAGAGGACGACCGGCCACACUGGGACUGAGACACGGCCCAGACUCCUACGGGAGGCAGCAGUGGGGAAUUUUGGACAAUGGGCGAAAGCCUGAUCCAGCCAUUCCGCGUGCAGGAUGAAGGCCCUCGGGUUGUAAACUGCUUUUGUACGGAACGAAAAGGCUCUGGUUAAUACCUGGGGCUCAUGACGGUACCGUAAGAAUAAGCACCGGCUAACUACGUGCCAGCAGCCGG
This 493-nucleotide ribosomal RNA is filed under the name uncultured bacterium. RNAcentral describes it as "bacterial SSU rRNA". It matches the Rfam family "Bacterial small subunit ribosomal RNA", at positions 30 to 518 of the family's 1533-position model. The record is from RNAcentral.